This is a long non-coding RNA of Oncorhynchus kisutch (coho salmon), 6733 nucleotides long. RefSeq lists it as uncharacterized. The transcript is spliced from 3 exons. Lineage: Eukaryota; Metazoa; Chordata; Actinopteri; Salmoniformes; Salmonidae. The record is from RefSeq and is a predicted model, not a curated record.
GGGUUUUAGGCUGGGUUUCUGUACAGCACUUUGAGAUAUCAGCUGAUGUACGAAGGGCUAUAUAAAUCAAUUUGAUUUGAUUUGAUUAUUCAUGAACAAAACACUGUGUGUAUUGUACUUAAAAGAAUCAAACUUUUCUGAAGACAGAAAAAGCGUGCCUACCUCUCUCAGUGCAUCAACAUGAUUUGAGCACGAGCACGCAGGGAAAAAUGUAAGUACACACUCCCCUUCUCUCAGGAUGCAGGCAUGCAUAAUAACAAAUCAACACGACAUAUUAAUAUAUGAACCUGGUGAAAUUCACAUAGUACUUUAACAACUGUUACAUUCAACCCUCCUGAAUUUCACCAACCUUGUAAAACAACAAAAUAACCUACCAAGCUCAAUUCUUAAUUCUGAAUUCAGCUUCAAAGCUACCCAUAGGGUUCAGGGCAAGUGAAAGUUGGCCAGGCCUUCAACUGCCCCUAGAUGCAUAGUUCCUCUUACACUAUACCUACCUUCUUAGCCUUAAAAAAAAGUAAUUCUGUACUAAAUCAUCUCUCUGUACUAUGUUAAACUUACACCUUCUGGUGGAUUGACUCUAUUAGUCUCUUGACUGGUUUAACUACCCUCCCCGCCCUUGUGCGACCUGCCACUGGGCUAGGGGCCAUGGUGACUAACAGUGGCUCUGGCCUUAGAUCAUUGAUCAGAGGUGGGUUUGAAGGAAUCAGCUCCAGAAUCUCAGAGGUGCUUCCCAGGUCAUUUUCCUCAAGCAAACAAGGUUCUUCUGGCUCUGACUUUCCAGCCGAUGUCCAGAGCUCGGAGUAAUCGCUUGAAUCCUCUGCCAGCCAAGAUGCACUUUCCUCCCCAGAGUCUUCCAUGUCUUCCCUGUCCAGUCCAUCGCCAGAGUGGGUGACCUCUCCUGCAUCUACAUUGAUUGAUGGCCCUGCAGCAUCACUGUCAUUGAAGUGCACUGAAUCAUCCAUUUCAAAUGGCAGGAAAUUCACCUGCAGCAGUAGAUUCCUGUGAACCACUUUCUCUCUGCCGUAACGGUCUUGGAUUAUGUAUGUGUGAGUUUGUGGAUUGACUGAAGUCACUGUGAAAAUCUCGGGGUUCCACUUGUCAGCCAACUUGCGGCGGCCCCUUUCACCCUUGUUUGCGAUGAGGACACGAUCCCCCAUGGACAAACUGAUGCCUUUAACCCGCUUGUCAUACUCCCGACCUUGUCGUCUCUGUUGCUUGUCAGUGUGCCUUUGGGCAACAGUCAUAGCUUCCUUCAGCCCAGUGAUCAGAGUCUCGACAUACUUGUUGCAAUCCACAACACUGGAGUCGUCCAAAACAUUGAGGAACAUAACAUCCACUGGUAGCCGAGGGACUCUACCAAACAUGAGAAAGAAUGGAGCAUAGCCCGUAGUCUUGUGAACAGUGGCAUUGUAGGCAAAUGUUAAUGACUGGAUUUGUUCAGGCCAAUGUUCUUUGGUUUUCAAGGGCAGACUCCUGAGCAUGCUACCUAAAGUCCUGUUGAAGCGUUCAAUUUCUCCAUUCCCCAUUGGGUGAUAUGCUGUGGUUCUUGACUUUUGGACACCGGAGAGCUUAAGCAGUUCUGCUAUUAGCUCACUCUCAAAAUUUGCGCCCUGAUCAGUAUGGAUCCUUGAUGCAAAUCCGUAGACACAGAAGACAUGAUCCCACAGUUUACGAGCUACUUGCUUGGCUGUCUGGUUUCUGCAUGGCCAUGCAUGGGCAAGUUUAGUGAAGUGGUCAGUCACCACCAGAACAUACUGAGUUCUUCUUACUGUCUUCCGCUGUCCAAAACUCCAAACACACCAACUCCAUGGGAGAGCAAGUUUUGAUGCUCUCUAACGGGGCUCUAGCCGCUGGCUCUGGAGUCUUUGCUAGAACGCAUCUCUGGCAGCAGCGCACAUACUCCUUGAUGUCUCUCUCCAUUGCAGGCCAGAAAAAUCUCUUGAUGAGGAAGGGGAUGAGCGUCCUUCACCGUUCGUGCAUUCAUCCACCUGAAGUCAGUGCAUAACCUCAGACUCCCGUCUUUCUUACAUACCAUGACGAAAGGGGAGACAUACUCACUAACCGACUUGUGUAUAAGACCUACUUCUUCCAUGUCUGUCAAUACCUUCCUCAGCUUCAGGUAUUGAGCAAGCGGGACUCUUCUGUAUGGUAGCCGGAAGGGUCUGUCAUCAACCAGGUGGAUACGGUGAACAUAACCCCUGGCUUCUCCGCAGUCCAGAUUAUGUCUUGAGAAGAUGUCUUCAUAUUUUGUGAUGGUAUUCACAAGCUUCUCCUUCCACUGGUCAGUUACCUGGCAUCCAUCAAUGUCAAUGUCUACUAAUCCUAGAUCAGACCGUCUUUGUUUCAGAUUGUGGCAGCCAUUGUCAUCCUGCCUCUGUUCCAUUGGGGUUUUCCUCACUUCAUGAAGGCCCUGAAAGAUUGUUGCAUCCUCGACAGCCAAGCAUGUAGACACAUCGGCCAACUUCAUGUUACGUCUUAGGGUGAGAUGUUUGUCAGAACAGUUUACUACCUUUAAAGGGACCCAGCCAUCUCCCCACAUGGGUGUAAUAACUCUACCCACGAGUAUGUUUCUGGGCAUGACCUUUGACCUGGUAGGUUCGACUAUUACAGUGCUGCCUGGAGACAAUGCCACAUUUUUAGGAAGUUUACCCCAAACUAAGUGUUCAGUCUUGGGCGAAAGAGUCACAGCUUGAGUGAGCUUCACUGUCCCAAUCUUGCCAUUGACUUGCUGUCCCUUCCAUACCGACACUUGUCAUCAUCUGCAGAAACUGCUCACCCUCUGGUGAGUGGGUCUGGCCAUCCAUGUUGUUGACAAGCUUCCAGUAUUCAUCAGUGCCUUUCAUCUCAUGCAAUAGAUGCUUAAUGACGUUCGAUCCCAGGAUGAGAUCAUCACGCUGUCCAGGAACAACUAGGGUGGGCACUUUAACAUCAAUCCCAUAGAUUUGCAUCUCCAAAUCAUAGAAACACUUUGUUGAGGUCUUCUUCCCCCUACACCCCACUAAUACUAACUCUGUGGGAGGCUGUUAAUGCUGAGGAAGGGCACCUGCUUCCAAAAGUCUCUGCUCCGCAUGUUCACUCAAUGUACAGGCCAUAGACCCAGUGUCAAGCAUGCCCUUAAGCUGUACUUUCCCAUGUACAGACACAGAGGUGUAAAACAAAUCUGAAAAAGCCUCAACCUCUUGUGAACCUAACAUAACAAUUUUCUCUCCUUCUUUCGCAUCAGAGCACAAAAUCUCAUACGUUUUCUCGAGAUCAUCAAAUUCUUUCUUGGGGGUAGACAGUUGAACACCCACAUUCCCCCCCUUCACCUGUGGGUGUGUCAGUUUUAAUGGUUGCUGCUGUGGUGGUGAGUUUCUCUGCUGUUGUGGUGGGCGUCUCUAACCACCGGGAUUGGCAUAGCGUUCCCACGGUUUUGGACAAUUUGACUUCCAAUGAUCUGCGGAAAAGCACCAGAGGCACAGGUUCUCAUGUCUACAGUGCAUCACAGUGGAGUGAUCUGUUGAGCCACAAACCCUGCAUUCCCUACGCCUGAAGGGUUGGGCGGUUAAAGAUGUUGCCUUGGCCUGUGAAACCAUAACGGGUGGUAUGCUCUUCUCUAAGGUACGUUCAAGCAGGUGAAUGAGUCUCUCGAUACUUGCACUCUGCCCAUCUUGUUUGGCGCUUGAUGUGAGAGAAGUGUCACUGCACGCACCAGCAUCGGCCCCGCCUUCACACGGAGUUAUCUGGGGAUGUACUGUUACUUGCUUUGAGGAUACAGAGGUAGAUUGACACAUGGUGGCCUUCCUGCGGCGUUUAUGUUUGUUUAUUCAUGAACAAAACACUGUGUUUGACUUUGUACUUAAAAGAAUCAAACUUUUCUGAAGACAGAAAAAGCGUGCCUACCUCUCUCAGUGCAUCAAAAUGAUUUGAGCACGAGCACGAGCACGCAGGGCAAAACGUAAGUACACACUCCCCUUCUCCCAGGAUGCAGGUAUGCAUAAUAACAAAUCAACACGACAUAUUAAUAUAUGAACCUGGUGAAAUUCACAUAGUACUUUAACAACUGUUACACCAGGACCUAUGGUUAGUAGACCGACAACGUCGAGCCCCGGAGGGGGGGAUCGGGAGUAGACGUGACAGUAAACCCCCCCACCCCCCGAUGCGCAGCUCCAGCAAUAGGACGACUCUGGCCAGGAGGACGGCCCUGAGGGCGAGGAUCGGGCCGGUCUGGACGGCGAAGGUGGAAUUCUCAGAUGACGUUGUGGGGAUCUAGAAUAUCAUCCACCGGAACCCAACACCACUCCUCUGGACCGUACCCCUUCCAGUAAACCAGGUACUCUCAAGGUGCAUUAAAAUGACGAGAGCCAUAGGGAGGAAAACAUACAUUCUGACAAGCGGUCAAUGCACAACAAUUCAGAUGGUUUUCACCAGAACCGGCAGCCCGGCAGCCCGGCUCUUCACUACAAACGAUUGGCCGCUUAGUGGGCAUACACAUGAACCUAUUCAAGUUAGUAAAUACAUUUUGAAAUGACUUGUAUUAUUAGCUAGCUAGCUAGCUGUGUGUAAAUUAAUGAGCUGCUAGCCCUUGAUCAUGAAUCUCAGUUCCAUUACAUUUACACAUAAUGUAAGUCAUUGAACUAAGUCCUCUUAUAUGUCCCAACGUGCCCCAACCUGCAGUCUGAACAUUGACACGCAUCUCUUGUGGUACGGUUUUGGAAGCAUUAGGACAUUUUCUUUAAUACCAGCUAUGAAUAAUAAUAAGAAAUAGUUACAUUUAUAUACACCUUUACAGGGUUAGUGUUCCCACACAGCCAUAUCGCCAUGUUACAGCUCGUGUUUACAGUAAACAGACAGAAGACACAGUCAACUACCUGUGCUAAUUACUUGAUUCUGUGACUCCAAAUUUGUGGCAACAGUUUGGGGAAGGCCCCACCACAAACGUGUUGUCAUUGAAAAAUACUGUCGGCUGCAACUGUGUUAAAACAGUGUACAGUAAGUGGGUAUUUUGCAUUUAUGAAAUUAUUUUCUUGUGAUAUGAAAGUAAAGGGAUUCAUGUUUUUAGCAGUUGAGAAUUGAUUCACGUUCAGGAGGAAUAAUGGUCUGGGGCUGUAUUUCAAGGUUUGGGCUAGGCCCCUUAGUUCCAGUGAAGGGAAAUCUUAACAAUACAGCAUACAAUGAAAUUUGAGACGAUUCUGUGCUUCCAACUUUGUGGCAACAGUUUGGGGAAGGCCCUUUCCUGUUUCAGCAUGGCAAAUUGAGGUCCAUGGUAUGUCAAGAUCGGUGAGGAAGAACAUGACUGGCCUACAUAGACCCCUGACUGGAACCCCAUUCUAACACCUUUGGGAUGAAUUGUAAUGCCGACUGUGAGCCAGGCCUAAUCGACCAACAUUAGUUCCCAACCUCACUAAUAGUCUCGUUUGUGGCUGGAGGCAAGUCCCCACAGCAAUGUUCCAACAUCUAGUGGAGAGCUUCCCCAGAAGAGUGGAGGCUGUUACAAAAGUAAAGGUGGGACCAACUCCAUAUUAAUGUCCAUGAUUUUGGAAUGUGAUGUUCGACAAGCAGGUGUCCACACACUUUUGUAGUGUACCUCUCCAUAUAGUCUACCUCGCCAUGUAGUGUACCUCCCAUCUUUACAACCAUUGAAUCUAUAUGUUUUGACCAUGACAAUUUACAAUCUAAGGUAACACAAAGUAAUUCAGUCUCCUCAACUGUUCAACAGCCACACCAUUGGCAGAUUCAGCUGAAGUCUAGAGCUUAUGGAAUGAUUUGUACCAAAUACAAUGCUCCUAGCUUUUGAGAUGUUCAGAACCAAUUUAUUACUGGUCACCCAUUCCAAAACAGACUGCAACUCCUUGUUAAGGGUUUCAGUGACUUCAUUAGCAUACAUGGACACACAGGCUUUGUUUAAUGCUAGUGGCAGGUCAUUGGUAAAAAUAGAGGGCUUAAAGAGCUGUCCUGCGGUACACUAUUAAAGAAAACCCUCUGAGUUCUAUUAGAUAGAUAGCUCUGAAUCCACAAUAUGGAAGAUGGUUUUGUGAUUAAUAAGCCAUCUGAUUCAAUGAAAGAUGGAGUUGAAUUUGUCUUUCUGCCCAUAAUUUCAUUUAAAGUACUCCAAAGUUUUUUUAUAUCAUUGAUCUUGGCUUCAUAAUACAGCUUCUUCUUUUUGCUGAGUUUAGUCACAUAAUUUGUCAAUUUACACUAAGGGGAUAGUGCAUAGGUGCGGGGUUAGAUGGUGCAAUUUAAGAUUAUCUCAUUCCCCUUUUCUGUGGAGGUUGACCAAAAUGUGCAAUCCGUUUUUCUUAAUCUAUCAGGAAUCCUUGUAUUUUUGUAUUUGACAAUAUGAUACAUUUUGCCUAUCCCUACUCCCCCUCAACACUCAUUCUAAUGUUAUAUCUCUCAACUGCAUUUUUCAAUUCAUGAUUCUCUUUUUUUGCAGGAAUCUUCUAGCUUGGAUGGAAGGAUGGAGGAGGGAACAAAGGGAAGGAGUACAGAAGUUAUUCAACCUGCUGACUAAGAAAUUUCCUAAAACAUGUCAAUGUCCUGAUGCAUGGCCUUUACAGCAGUGCCUGGCCACCCACUUGGUUACCAGUGACCUAUUCUGCUACAUCCUAGGAUCUCACUGAGACUGGAUUCCCAAAAGACAUGCUAUUCAGCUCCCCAUGAUUGCCUGAUCUUAGUGCAAAUAUCCAACAAGGAGGCGUCUUGCAGUGUGUGAAUUGUCUCAAAUAAAAAAUAAAGGUAACUUGACUCUUAA